This 528-nucleotide ribosomal RNA is filed under the name Trigonopterus gracilipes. RNAcentral describes it as "partial large subunit ribosomal RNA". Lineage: Eukaryota; Metazoa; Arthropoda; Insecta; Coleoptera; Curculionidae. The record is from RNAcentral.
UGAUUAUGAUUUUAGGUYUGACCUGCCCAAUGACGAAUUAAAUGGCCGCGGUAAAUUGACCGUGCAAAGGUAGCAUAGUCAUUAGUUUUUUAAUUGAAAGCUUGAAUGAAAGGUUUGAUGGGAAAGAGGCUGUCUCUGGAGAAAUUUAUUAGAAUUUUAUUUUUAAGUGAGAAAGCUUAAAUUUUUAUAGAAGACGAGAAGACCCUGUAGAGUUUAAUAAAUAAAAAUGUUUUUAAAUUGAGGCUUAUAUUUAUGGGGACAUAUUUUCAUAUUUAUUUUAUUGGGGUGAUGGGAAAAUUAACUAAACUUUUCUUUUAUUAAAAUAUUAAUGAGUAACUUUAUGAUCCUUUAGUUUAGAUUAUAAGAAUAAAUUACCUCAGGGAUAACAGCGUAAUUUUUUUUAGAGUUCUUAUCGAAAAAAUAGAUUGCGACCUCGAUGUUGGAUUAAAAUUAACUAUUGGUGAAGAAGCUAAUAAGUUGGGUCUGUUCGACCUUUGAAAUUUUACAUGAUCUGAGUUUAAACCGGCG